UGGCCAUAUUACACUGAAACACUGGUUCUCAUUUGAUCACUGAAGUUAAGCAAUAUUGAGCCUGAUCAGUACCUAGAUGGGUGACAACUUGGGAAUACCAGGUGCU
Non-coding RNA from Acanthosepion pharaonis, 106 nucleotides. The record is from the annotation of a GenBank genome assembly. Lineage: Eukaryota; Metazoa; Mollusca; Cephalopoda; Sepiida; Sepiidae.